RNAcentral lists this ribosomal RNA (120 nucleotides) under uncultured bacterium. RNAcentral describes it as "partial 16S ribosomal RNA". It matches the Rfam family "Bacterial small subunit ribosomal RNA", at positions 796 to 918 of the family's 1533-position model. The record is from RNAcentral.
CACGCUGUAAACGAUGAUAACUCGUUGUCGGCGAUACACAGUCGGUGACUAAGCGAAAGCGAUAAGUUAUCCACCUGGGGAGUACGAUCGCAAGGUUGAAACUCAAAGGAAUUGACGGGG